RNAcentral lists this transfer RNA (71 nucleotides) under Graffilla buccinicola. RNAcentral's name for it is "tRNA-Phe". The record is from RNAcentral. Lineage: Eukaryota; Metazoa; Platyhelminthes; Rhabdocoela; Graffillidae.
GUGGGCCUAGUUUAGAUAUUAAUAGCAAAAUUUAGCUUUGAAGCAGCUUAGAGGGUAAGGACCGACCCACA